GUACACUCCUGCGGGAGGCAGCAGUGGGGAAUAUUGGACAAUGGGCGCAAGCCUGAUCCAGCCAUGCCGCGUGAGUGAUGAAGGCCCUAGGGUUGUAAAGCUCUUUCACCGGAGAAGAUAAUGACGGUAUCCGGAGAAGAAGCCCCGGCUAACUUCGUGCCAGCAGCCGCGGUAAUACGAAGGGGGCUAGCGUUGUUCGGAAUUACUGGGCGUAAAGCGCACGUAGGCGGAUCGAUCAGUCAGGGGUGAAAUCCCAGGGCUCAACCCUGGAACUGCCUUUGAUACUGUCGAUCUGGAGUAUGGAAGAGGUGAGUGGAAUUCCGAGUGUAGAGGUGAAAUUCGUAGAUAUUCGGAGGAACACCAGUGGCGAAGGCGGCUCACUGGUCCAUUACUGACGCUGAGGUGCGAAAGCGUGGGGAGCAAACAGGAUUAGAUACCCUUGUAGUCCCAU
This 451-nucleotide ribosomal RNA is filed under the name uncultured organism. Its description in RNAcentral is "partial 16S ribosomal RNA". It matches the Rfam family "Bacterial small subunit ribosomal RNA", at positions 331 to 798 of the family's 1533-position model. The record is from RNAcentral.